RNAcentral lists this ribosomal RNA (414 nucleotides) under Bacillus subtilis. Its description in RNAcentral is "partial 16S ribosomal RNA". It matches the Rfam family "Bacterial small subunit ribosomal RNA", at positions 937 to 1353 of the family's 1533-position model. The record is from RNAcentral. Lineage: Bacteria; Bacillati; Bacillota; Bacilli; Caryophanales; Bacillaceae.
GCAUGUGGUUUAAUUCGAAGCAACGCGAAGAACCUUACCAGGUCUUGACAUCCUCUGACAAUCCUAGAGAUAGGACGUCCCCUUCGGGGGCAGAGUGACAGGUGGUGCAUGGUUGUNGUCAGCUCGUGUCGUGAGAUGUUGGGUUAAGUCCCGCAACGAGCGCAACCCUUGAUNUUAGUUGCCNGCAUUCAGUUGGGCACUCUAAGGUGACUGCCGGUGACAAACCGGAGGAAGGUGGGGAUGACGUCAAAUCAUCAUGCCCCUUAUGACCUGGGCUACACACGUGCUACAAUGGACAGAACAAAGNGCNGNGAANCCGCGAGGUUAAGCCANUCCCACAAAUCUGUUNNNNNUCGGAUCGCAGUCUGCAACUNGANUGCGUGAAGNNGGAAUCGCUAGUAAUCGNGGNUCAGC